This 491-nucleotide ribosomal RNA is filed under the name uncultured bacterium. Its description in RNAcentral is "bacterial SSU rRNA". It matches the Rfam family "Bacterial small subunit ribosomal RNA", at positions 791 to 1283 of the family's 1533-position model. The record is from RNAcentral.
UAGUCCACGCCGUAAACGAUGCAUGCUCGUUGUCGGGAAGUUUACUUCUCGGUAACUAAGGUAACCCAUUAAGCAUGCCGCCUGGGGAGUACGGCCGCAAGGUUAAAACUCAAAGGAAUUGACGGGGGCCCGCACAAGCGGUGGAGCAUGUGGUUUAAUUCGAGGCAACGCGAAGAACCUUACCACCCCUUGACAUGCCGGUCGCGAGAUCCAGAGAUGGAUCUCUUCAGUUCGGCUGGACCGUGCACAGGUGCUGCAUGGCUGUCGUCAGCUCGUGUCGCGAGAUGUUGGGUUAAGUCCCGCAACGAGCGCAACCCUUGUCAUUAGUUGCCAGCAUUUAGUUGGGCACUCUAAUGAGACUGCCGGUGAUAAGCCGGAGGAAGGCGGGGAUGACGUCAAGUCCUCAUGGCCCUUAUGGGGUGGGCUACACACGUGCUACAAUGGUUGAUACAGUGGGAUGCGAUGGCGCGAGCCUGAGCAAUCUCCAAAUC